UACAGAGGUCCCGAGCGUUGUUCGGAUUCACUGGGCGUAAAGGGUGCGUAGGCGGUCGGAUAAGUUUGAUGUGAAAUCUCCGGGCUUAACCCGGAAACUGCAUUGAAUACUAUUCGGCUUGAGGUCUGGAGGGGGGACUGGAAUUCCUGGUGUAGCGGUGAAAUGCGCAGAUAUCAGGAGGAACACCGGUGGCGAAGGCGGGUCUCUGGGCCGAUACUGACGCUGAGGAGCGAAAGCGUGGGGAGCGAACAGG
This 253-nucleotide ribosomal RNA is filed under the name uncultured bacterium. RNAcentral describes it as "partial 16S ribosomal RNA". It matches the Rfam family "Bacterial small subunit ribosomal RNA", at positions 524 to 776 of the family's 1533-position model. The record is from RNAcentral.